GACGAACGCUGGCGGCGUGCUUAACACAUGCGAGUCGAACGGAAAGGCCUCUUUCGGGGGGUACUCGAGUGGCGAACGGGUGAGUAACACGUGAGUAACCUGCCCUUGACUUUGGGAUAACUUCAGGAAACUGGGGCUAAUACCGGAUAGGAGCUCCUGCUGCAUGGUGGGGGUUGGAAAGUUUCGGCGGUUGGGGAUGGACUCGCGGCUUAUCAGCUUGUUGGUGGGGUAGUGGCUUACCAAGGCUUUGACGGGUAGCCGGCCUGAGAGGGUGACCGGCCACAUUGGGACUGCGAUACGGCCCAGACUCCUACGGGAGGCAGCAGUGGGGAAUAUUGCACAAUGGGUGGAAGCCUGAUGCAGCAACGCCGUGUGCGGGAUGACGGCCUUCGGGUUGUAAACCGCUUUCGCUCAUGACGAAGCUUUGUGUGACGGUAGUGGGUAAAGAAGCACCGGCUAACUACGUG
Molecule: ribosomal RNA, 467 nt
Filed under: uncultured bacterium
Lineage: Bacteria
Description: partial 16S ribosomal RNA
Rfam family: Bacterial small subunit ribosomal RNA
Source: RNAcentral